This 430-nucleotide unclassified non-coding RNA is filed under the name plant metagenome. RNAcentral describes it as "partial contains 5.8S ribosomal RNA, internal transcribed spacer 2, and large subunit ribosomal RNA". The stretch from base 1 to 102 matches the Rfam family "5.8S ribosomal RNA", at positions 50 to 154 of the family's 154-position model. The record is from RNAcentral.
AAACUGCGAUAAGUAGUGUGAAUUCCAUUUAGUGAAUCAUCGAAUCUUUGAACGCACCCUGCACUCACUGGUAUUCCGGUGAGUACGCCUGUUUCAGUAUCAUUGAAAACACACAAUCAAAACAUUUUCUUUGGUUUGAUUGGCUUUGGGUCUAUCAAAAAGUUUGGCUUGUUUCUUACAAGCCAAGCGGCCUGAAAUAUAUUGUCUGGCUAAUUGCAUCGUUGAUGAUCGCUAUUAGACUUUGGCUUUUUUAAAUGAACUGGAGGUUGAUUAACCAGUUUUAGCUUUAGUCAAAUGGUCAUUGUAAAAAAAUCUCGAUCUUGGCUAGGUGUUUAUAGCCGAAAAUUUUUUUUUGGCUAUAACCGAAACCAAUAUAAUCACAUUUAGUUAUCGAUCUGAAAUCAGGUGGGACUACCCGCUGAACUUAAGC